AUGCUUGAGAUUUUUAAUGAAUAUCAUUUGAACAAGUACAUUACUAGCCCUUGUGCAUCUCAUGUUGAUCCUUUGCACCCUACCCUAGAUGAAUAUAUUGACAUGAUUCACAAUCUUAGAACUGUUGAGCUCAUCAUUAGAGGCUUGCCUAGAAACUUGAUUAGAUGUUUGCCUACUCUCAAGUAUGCCUACACCAUAUGGAGAUUUCUUGAGGAACGAUUUCCAGAUUAUUCCUUGAAAAAUUUAGACGAAAUUCUUCAUAAGUCUAUUGCCUUGAGUAAGAUGAACUCUAGUGAUCCUAGUUUUGGUGAUUAUCUAUUUGAGCUUACCAAUCUCGUGCGUGCUAAAAGAAAUGUUGGAAUCAUUAGGGAUAUCAUAUCCAAAGCUAUUAGAAUUCAUAAAGAUAACCAUUGUGAUGAUCAUUUAUCUAAUGAAUUACCCUCUUUAGGAAUUGAUCAAUCACAAGAUGAUGUUGAACAUGGAUACUAUGAUGAAGAUGAUGAUAGUGACUAUGAUCUUGAUGAUGCAAUGAGGCAUUUUGGUCUUAUGGCAAAUCUUCGCGACUACAUGGCUGGAGGAAAGGAAUGGGUCCUUGAUAGUGGAUGUACUGAUCAUAUGACCGGAGAUAAAGAUAUGUUCCGUGAGCUUGCUGAAAACGACGGUCCUAAAAAAUAUGUCACUUUUGGUGAUAAUUCAAAGGGUAAGGUGGUUGGCCUUGGUAAGGUGGCCAUCUCACAUGAUAGCUCCAUACAAAAUGUCAUGCUCGUUGAAUCCCUUGGAUACAAUUUACUUUCAGUUUCUAGACUUGCGGAUUUCGGUUUCAAUGUCUUAUUCAUUGAAGUAGAUUGCCAAGUGUUUCGUAGAGACAAUCAUAAAAUGGUCUUUUACCGGUAUACGUAG
Molecule: ribosomal RNA, 900 nt
Filed under: Triticum aestivum (bread wheat)
Lineage: Eukaryota; Viridiplantae; Streptophyta; Magnoliopsida; Poales; Poaceae
Description: partial small subunit ribosomal RNA
Source: RNAcentral